GAUGAACGCUGGCGGCGCGCCUAAUACAUGCAAGUCGAGCGAACGGACGAGAAGCUUGCUUCUCUGAUGUUAGCGGCGGACGGGUGAGUAACACGUGGAUAACCUACCUAUAAGACUGGGAUAACUUCGGGAAACCGGAGCUAAUACCGGAUAAUAUUUUGAACCGCAUGGUUCAAAAGUGAAAGACGGUCUUGCUGUUACUUAUAGAUGGAUCCGCGCUGCAUUAGCUAGUUGGUAAGGUAACGGCUUACCACGGCAACGAUGGAGAGCAGACCUGAGAGGGUGAUCGGCCACGCUGGAAUUGAGACUCGGUCCAGACUCCUACGGGAGGCAGCAGUAGGGAAUCUGCCGCAAGGGGCGAAAGCCUGACGGAGCAACGCCGCGUGAGUGAUGAAGGUCUUCGGAUCGUAAAACUCUGUUAUUAGGGAAGAACAUAUGUGUAAGUAACUGUGCACAUCGUGACGGUACCUAAUCAGAAAGCCACGGCUAACUACGUG
Molecule: ribosomal RNA, 497 nt
Filed under: uncultured bacterium
Lineage: Bacteria
Description: partial 16S ribosomal RNA
Rfam family: Bacterial small subunit ribosomal RNA
Source: RNAcentral